GCCCCGAUGGCGGAAUUGGUAGACGCGCUACAUUCAGGAUGUAGUAAUCGAACGGUUGUGCAAGUUCGAGUCUUGUUCGGGGCA
RNAcentral lists this transfer RNA (84 nucleotides) under Bacteroidales bacterium. Its description in RNAcentral is "tRNA-Leu". It matches the Rfam family "tRNA". Rfam says of the family: Transfer RNA (tRNA) molecules are approximately 80 nucleotides in length. The record is from RNAcentral. Lineage: Bacteria; Pseudomonadati; Bacteroidota; Bacteroidia; Bacteroidales.